Molecule: ribosomal RNA, 803 nt
Filed under: uncultured bacterium
Lineage: Bacteria
Description: bacterial SSU rRNA
Rfam family: Bacterial small subunit ribosomal RNA
Source: RNAcentral
UGGCGGCGUGCCUAAUACAUGCAAGUCGAGCGAGCGGAACCAACAGAUUUACUUCGGUAAUGACGUUGGGAAAGCGAGCGGCGGAUGGGUGAGUAACACGUGGGGGACCUGCCCCUAAGUCUGGGAUACCAUUUGGAAACAGGUGCUAAUACCGGAUAAUAAAGCAGAUCGCAUGAUCAGCUUUUGAAAGGCGGCGUAAGCUGUCGCUAAGGGAUGGCCCCGCGGUGCAUUAGCUAGUUGGUAAGGUAACGGCUUACCAAGGCGACGAUGCAUAGCCGAGUUGAGAGACUGAUCGGCCACAUUGGGACUGAGACACGGCCCAAACUCCUACGGGAGGCAGCAGUAGGGAAUCUUCCACAAUGGACGCAAGUCUGAUGGAGCAACGCCGCGUGAGUGAAGAAGGUUUUCGGAUCGUAAAGCUCUGUUGUUGGUGAAGAAGGAUAGAGGUAGUAACUGGCCUUUAUUUGACGGUAAUCAACCAGAAAGUCACGGCUAACUACGUGCCAGCAGCCGCGGUAAUACGUAGGUGGCAAGCGUUGUCCGGAUUUAUUGGGCGUAAAGCGAGCGCAGGCGGAAAAAUAAGUCUAAUGUGAAAGCCCUCGGCUUAACCGAGGAACUGCAUCGGAAACUGUUUUUCUUGAGUGCAGAAGAGGAGAGUGGAACUCCAUGUGUAGCGGUGGAAUGCGUAGAUAUAUGGAAGAACACCAGUGGCGAAGGCGGCUCUCUGGUCUGCAACUGACGCUGAGGCUCGAAAGCAUGGGUAGCGAACAGGAUUAGAUACCCUGGUAGUCCAUGCCGUAAAC